RNAcentral lists this ribosomal RNA (1345 nucleotides) under Halobacterium sp. AS133. Its description in RNAcentral is "16S ribosomal RNA". It matches the Rfam family "Archaeal small subunit ribosomal RNA". The record is from RNAcentral. Lineage: Archaea; Methanobacteriati; Methanobacteriota; Halobacteria; Halobacteriales; Halobacteriaceae.
CGGAGGCCAUUGCUAUCGGAGUCCGAUUUAGCCAUGCUAGUAGCACGGGUUUAGACCCACAGCGGAAAGCUCAGUAACACGUGGCCAAGCUACCCUGUGGACGGGAAUACUCUCGGGAAACUGAGGCUAAUCCCCGAUAACGCUUUGCUCCUGGAAGGGGCAAAGCCGGAAACGCUCCGGCGCCACAGGAUGCGGCUGCGGUCGAUUAGGUAGACGGUGGGGUAACGGCCCACCGUGCCCAUAAUCGGUACGGGUUGUGAGAGCUCGAACCCGGAGACGGAAUCUGAGACAAGAUUCCCGGCCCUUACGGGGCGCAGCAGGCGCGAACCUUUACACUGUACGAAAGUGCGAUAAGGGGACUCCGAGUGUGAAGGCAUAGAGCCUUCACUUUUGUACACCGUAAGGUGGUGCACGAAUAAGGACUGGGCAAGACCGGUGCCAGCCGCCGCGGUAAUACCGGCAGUCCGAGUGAUGGCCGAUCUUAUUGGGCCUAAAGCGUCCGUAGCUGGCUGAACAAGUCCGUUGGGAAAUCUGUCCGCUUAACGGGCAGGCGUCCAGCGGAAACUGUUCAGCUUGGGACCGGAAGACCUGAGGGGUACGUCUGGGGUAGGAGUGAAAUCCUGUAAUCCUGGACGGACCCCCGGUGGCGAAAGCGCCUCAGGAGAACGGAUCCGACAGUGAGGGACGAAAGCUAGGGUCUCGAACCGGAUUAGAUACCCGGGUAGUCCUAGCUGUAAACGAUGUCCGCUAGGUGUGGCGCAGGCUACGAGCCUGCGCUGUGCCGUAGGGAAGCCGAGAAGCGGACCCCCUGGGAAGUACGUCUGCAAGGAUGAAACUUAAAGGAAUUGGCGGGGGAGCACUACAACCGGAGGAGCCUGCGGUUUAAUUGGACUCAACGCCGGACAUCUCCACCAGCCCCGACAGUAGUAAUGACGGUCCAGGUUGAUGACCUUACCCGAGGCUACUGAGAGGAGGUGCAUGGCCGCCGUCAGCUCGUACCGUGAGGCGUCCUGUUAAGUCAGGCAACGAGCGAGACCCGCACUCCUAAUUGCCAGCAGUACCCUUUGGGUAGCUGGGUACAUUAGGUGGACUGCCGCUGCCAAAGCGGAGGAAGGAACGGGCAACGGUAGGUCAGUAUGCCCCGAAUGGGCUGGGCAACACGCGGGCUACAAUGGUCGAGACAAUGGGAAGCCACUCCGAGAGGAGGCGCUAAUCUCCUAAACUCGAUCGUAGUUCGGAUUGAGGGCUGAAACUCGCCCUCAUGAAGCUGGAUUCGGUAGUAAUCGCGUGUCAGCAGCGCGCGGUGAAUACGUCCCUGCUCCUUGCACACACCGCCCGUCAAAUC